RNAcentral lists this ribosomal RNA (2672 nucleotides) under Klebsiella pneumoniae. Its description in RNAcentral is "partial 23S ribosomal RNA". It matches the Rfam family "Bacterial large subunit ribosomal RNA". Lineage: Bacteria; Pseudomonadati; Pseudomonadota; Gammaproteobacteria; Enterobacterales; Enterobacteriaceae. The record is from RNAcentral.
CACUAUCGUUAACUGAAUACAUAGGUUAACGAGGCGAACCGGGGGAACUGAAACAUCUAAGUACCCCGAGGAAAAGAAAUCAACCGAGAUUCCCCCAGUAGCGGCGAGCGAACGGGGAGCAGCCCAGAGUCUGAAUCAGCUUGUGUGUUAGUGGAACGGUCUGGAAAGUCCGACGGUACAGGGUGAUAGUCCCGUACACCAAAAUGCACAGGCUGUGAACUCGAAGAGUAGGGCGGGACACGUGGUAUCCUGUCUGAAUAUGGGGGGACCAUCCUCCAAGGCUAAAUACUCCUGACUGACCGAUAGUGAACCAGUACCGUGAGGGAAAGGCGAAAAGAACCCCGGCGAGGGGAGUGAAAAAGAACCUGAAACCGUGUACGUACAAGCAGUGGGAGCACCUUCGGGUGUGACUGCGUACCUUUUGUAUAAUGGGUCAGCGACUUAUAUUCUGUAGCAAGGUUAACCGUAUAGGGGAGCCGCAGGGAAACCGAGUCUUAACUGGGCGUUAAGUUGCAGGGUAUAGACCCGAAACCCGGUGAUCUAGCCAUGGGCAGGUUGAAGGUUGGGUAACACUAACUGGAGGACCGAACCGACUAAUGUUGAAAAAUUAGCGGAUGACUUGUGGCUGGGGGUGAAAGGCCAAUCAAACCGGGAGAUAGCUGGUUCUCCCCGAAAGCUAUUUAGGUAGCGCCUCGUGAACUCAUCUUCGGGGGUAGAGCACUGUUUCGGCUAGGGGGUCAUCCCGACUUACCAACCCGAUGCAAACUACGAAUACCGAAGAAUGUUAUCACGGGAGACACACGGCGGGUGCUAACGUCCGUCGUGAAGAGGGAAACAACCCAGACCGCCAGCUAAGGUCCCAAAGUCAUGGUUAAGUGGGAAACGAUGUGGGAAGGCACAGACAGCCAGGAUGUUGGCUUAGAAGCAGCCAUCAUUUAAAGAAAGCGUAAUAGCUCACUGGUCGAGUCGGCCUGCGCGGAAGAUGUAACGGGGCUAAACCAUGCACCGAAGCUGCGGCAGCGACACUAUGUGUUGUUGGGUAGGGGAGCGUUCUGUAAGCCUGCGAAGGUGUGCUGUGAGGCAUGCUGGAGGUAUCAGAAGUGCGAAUGCUGACAUAAGUAACGAUAAAGCGGGUGAAAAGCCCGCUCGCCGGAAGACCAAGGGUUCCUGUCCAACGUUAAUCGGGGCAGGGUGAGUCGACCCCUAAGGCGAGGCCGAAAGGCGUAGUCGAUGGGAAACAGGUUAAUAUUCCUGUACUUGGUGUUACUGCGAAGGGGGGACGGAGAAGGCUAUGUUAGCCGGGCGACGGUUGUCCCGGUUUAAGCAUGUAGGCUGGUUAUCCAGGCAAAUCCGGAUAAUCAAGGCUGAGGUGUGAUGACGAGGCACUACGGUGCUGAAGUAACAAAUGCCCUGCUUCCAGGAAAAGCCUCUAAGCAUCAGGUAACAUCAAAUCGUACCCCAAACCGACACAGGUGGUCAGGUAGAGAAUACCAAGGCGCUUGAGAGAACUCGGGUGAAGGAACUAGGCAAAAUGGUGCCGUAACUUCGGGAGAAGGCACGCUGGUGUGUAGGUGAAGUCCCUGCGGAUGGAGCUGAGACCAGUCGAAGAUACCAGCUGGCUGCAACUGUUUAUUAAAAACACAGCACUGUGCAAACACGAAAGUGGACGUAUACGGUGUGACGCCUGCCCGGUGCCGGAAGGUUAAUUGAUGGGGUUAUCCGUAAGGAGAAGCUCUUGAUCGAAGCCCCGGUAAACGGCGGCCGUAACUAUAACGGUCCUAAGGUAGCGAAAUUCCUUGUCGGGUAAGUUCCGACCUGCACGAAUGGCGUAAUGAUGGCCAGGCUGUCUCCACCCGAGACUCAGUGAAAUUGAACUCGCUGUGAAGAUGCAGUGUACCCGCGGCAAGACGGAAAGACCCCGUGAACCUUUACUAUAGCUUGACACUGAACAUUGAGCCUUGAUGUGUAGGAUAGGUGGGAGGCUUUGAAGCGUGGACGCCAGUCUGCGUGGAGCCAACCUUGAAAUACCACCCUUUAAUGUUUGAUGUUCUAACGUUGGCCCCUUACCGGGGUUGCGGACAGUGUCUGGUGGGUAGUUUGACUGGGGCGGUCUCCUCCCAAAGCGUAACGGAGGAGCACGAAGGUUAGCUAAUCCUGGUCGGACAUCAGGAGGUUAGUGCAAUGGCAUAAGCUAGCUUGACUGCGAGCGUGACGGCGCGAGCAGGUGCGAAAGCAGGUCAUAGUGAUCCGGUGGUUCUGAAUGGAAGGGCCAUCGCUCAACGGAUAAAAGGUACUCCGGGGAUAACAGGCUGAUACCGCCCAAGAGUUCAUAUCGACGGCGGUGUUUGGCACCUCGAUGUCGGCUCAUCACAUCCUGGGGCUGAAGUAGGUCCCAAGGGUAUGGCUGUUCGCCAUUUAAAGUGGUACGCGAGCUGGGUUUAGAACGUCGUGAGACAGUUCGGUCCCUAUCUGCCGUGGGCGCUGGAGAAUUGAGGGGGGCUGCUCCUAGUACGAGAGGACCGGAGUGGACGCAUCACUGGUGUUCGGGUUGUCAUGCCAAUGGCACUGCCCGGUAGCUAAAUGCGGAAGAGAUAAGUGCUGAAAGCAUCUAAGCACGAAACUUGCCCCGAGAUGAGUUCUCCCUGAGACUUUAAGUCUCCUGAAGGAACGUU